UACAGAGGUCUCAAGCGUUGUUCGGAUUCAUUGGGCGUAAAGGGUGCGUAGGCGGCGCGGUAAGUCGGGUGUGAAAUCUCGGGGCUUAACUCCGAAACUGCAUUCGAUACUGCCGUGCUUGAGGACUGGAGAGGAGACUGGAAUUUACGGUGUAGCGGUGAAAUGCGUAGAUAUCGUAAGGAAGACCAGUGGCGAAGGCAGGUCUCUGGACAGUUCCUGACACUGAGGCACGAAAGCCAAGGGAGCAAACAGGA
RNAcentral lists this ribosomal RNA (254 nucleotides) under uncultured prokaryote. RNAcentral describes it as "partial 16S ribosomal RNA". It matches the Rfam family "Bacterial small subunit ribosomal RNA", at positions 524 to 777 of the family's 1533-position model. The record is from RNAcentral.